Molecule: ribosomal RNA, 910 nt
Filed under: uncultured soil bacterium
Lineage: Bacteria
Description: bacterial SSU rRNA
Rfam family: Bacterial small subunit ribosomal RNA
Source: RNAcentral
AGAGUUUGAUCCUGGCUCAGAAUCAACGCUGGCGGCGCGCUUAACACAUGCAAGUCGCACGAGAAAGAGGAGCAAUCCUUAAGUAAAGUGGCGCACGGGUGAGUAACACGUGGAUCAUCUACCUUUUAGUGGGGAAUACCCCUGGGAAACCGGGGAUAAUACCGCAUAAGCUCGCGAGAGGAAAGCCGAAAGGCGCUGAAAGAGGAGUCCGCGGCUGAUUAGCUAGUUGGCGGGGUAACGGCCCACCAAGGCGAAGAUCGGUAGCCGGCCUGAGAGGGCACACGGCCACACUGGCACUGAAACACGGGCCAGACUCCUACGGGAGGCAGCAGUGGGGAAUCUUGCACAAUGGAGGAAACUCUGAUGCAGCGACGCCGCGUGAGCGAUGAGGCCCUUCGGGGUGUAAAGCUCUUUCGACGGGAACGAUAAUGACGGUACCCGAAGAAGAAGCUGCGGCUAACUACGUGCCAGCAGCCGCGGUAAUACGUAGGCAGCAAGCGUUGUUCGGAAUUACUGGGCGUAAAGAGUGUGUAGGCGGUGCUCUAAGUCUGGUGUGAAAUCUCCCGGCUCAACUGGGAGGGUGCGCCGGAAACUGGAGUGCUCGAGUGUGGGAGAGGUAAGCGGAAUUCCUGGUGUAGCGGUGAAAUGCGUAGAUAUCAGGAGGAACACCUGUGGUGUAGACAGCUUACUGGACCACGACUGACGCUGAGACACGAAAGCGUGGGUAGCAAACAGGAUUAGAUACCCUGGUAGUCCACGCCCUAAACGAUGCAUACUUGGUGUGAGCCAUUCAUUUGGUUCGUGCCGGAGCUAACGCGUUAAGUAUGCCGCCUGGGGAGUACGGUCGCAAGGCUGAACUCAAGGAAUUGACGGGGGCCCGCACAAGCGGGGAGCAUGUGGUUCAAUUCGA